GGCUGGUCCGAAGGUAGUGAGUUAUCUCAAUUGAUUGUUCACAGUCAGUUACAGAUCGACUCC
RNAcentral lists this non-coding RNA (63 nucleotides) under Sus scrofa (pig). Lineage: Eukaryota; Metazoa; Chordata; Mammalia; Artiodactyla; Suidae. The record is from RNAcentral.